UAAUACGUAGGGGGCGAGCGUUAUCCGGAUUUAUUGGGCGUAAAGUGGGCGCAGGCGGUUCUUCAAGUCGGACGUAAAAUCUCCCGGCUCAACUGGGAGGGACCGUCCGAUACUGUUGAACUAGAGGGCAACAGAGGAAGGUAGAAUUCCCGGUGUAGUGGUGGAAUGCGUAGAUAUCGGGAGGAAUACCCGUGGCGAAAGCGGCCUUCUGGGUUGUCACUGACGCUGAUGCCCGAAAGCGUGGGGAGCAAACAGGAUUAGAUACCCUGGUAGUCCACGCCAUAAACUAUGGACACUGGGUGCAGGGAGUAUCGACCCUUUCUGUGCCGAAGCUAACGCGUUAAGUGUCCCGUCUGGGAAGUACGGCCGCAAGGCUA
This 377-nucleotide ribosomal RNA is filed under the name uncultured Chloroflexota bacterium. RNAcentral describes it as "bacterial SSU rRNA". It matches the Rfam family "Bacterial small subunit ribosomal RNA", at positions 521 to 896 of the family's 1533-position model. The record is from RNAcentral. Lineage: Bacteria; Bacillati; Chloroflexota.